This 1584-nucleotide ribosomal RNA is filed under the name Escherichia coli. Its description in RNAcentral is "bacterial LSU rRNA". It matches the Rfam family "Bacterial large subunit ribosomal RNA", at positions 1252 to 2819 of the family's 2925-position model. The record is from RNAcentral. Lineage: Bacteria; Pseudomonadati; Pseudomonadota; Gammaproteobacteria; Enterobacterales; Enterobacteriaceae.
GAAGGUGUGCUGUGAGGCAUGCUGGAGGUAUCAGAAGUGCGAAUGCUGACAUAAGUAACGAUAAAGCGGGUGAAAAGCCCGCUCGCCGGAAGACCAAGGGUUCCUGUCCAACGUUAAUCGGGGCAGGGUGAGUCGACCCCUAAGGCGAGGCCGAAAGGCGUAGUCGAUGGGAAACAGGUUAAUAUUCCUGUACUUGGUGUUACUGCGAAGGGGGGACGGAGAAGGCUAUGUUGGCCGGGCGACGGUUGUCCCGGUUUAAGCGUGUAGGCUGGUUUUCCAGGCAAAUCCGGAAAAUCAAGGCUGAGGCGUGAUGACGAGGCACUACGGUGCUGAAGCAACAAAUGCCCUGCUUCCAGGAAAAGCCUCUAAGCAUCAGGUAACAUCAAAUCGUACCCCAAACCGACACAGGUGGUCAGGUAGAGAAUACCAAGGCGCUUGAGAGAACUCGGGUGAAGGAACUAGGCAAAAUGGUGCCGUAACUUCGGGAGAAGGCACGCUGAUAUGUAGGUGAAGUCCCUCGCGGAUGGAGCUGAAAUCAGUCGAAGAUACCAGCUGGCUGCAACUGUUUAUUAAAAACACAGCACUGUGCAAACACGAAAGUGGACGUAUACGGUGUGACGCCUGCCCGGUGCCGGAAGGUUAAUUGAUGGGGUUAGCCGCAAGGCGAAGCUCUUGAUCGAAGCCCCGGUAAACGGCGGCCGUAACUAUAACGGUCCUAAGGUAGCGAAAUUCCUUGUCGGGUAAGUUCCGACCUGCACGAAUGGCGUAAUGAUGGCCAGGCUGUCUCCACCCGAGACUCAGUGAAAUUGAACUCGCUGUGAAGAUGCAGUGUACCCGCGGCAAGACGGAAAGACCCCGUGAACCUUUACUAUAGCUUGACACUGAACAUUGAGCCUUGAUGUGUAGGAUAGGUGGGAGGCUUAGAAGUGUGGACGCCAGUCUGCAUGGAGCCGACCUUGAAAUACCACCCUUUAAUGUUUGAUGUUCUAACGUUGACCCGUAAUCCGGGUUGCGGACAGUGUCUGGUGGGUAGUUUGACUGGGGCGGUCUCCUCCUAAAGAGUAACGGAGGAGCACGAAGGUUGGCUAAUCCUGGUCGGACAUCAGGAGGUUAGUGCAAUGGCAUAAGCCAGCUUGACUGCGAGCGUGACGGCGCGAGCAGGUGCGAAAGCAGGUCAUAGUGAUCCGGUGGUUCUGAAUGGAAGGGCCAUCGCUCAACGGAUAAAAGGUACUCCGGGGAUAACAGGCUGAUACCGCCCAAGAGUUCAUAUCGACGGCGGUGUUUGGCACCUCGAUGUCGGCUCAUCACAUCCUGGGGCUGAAGUAGGUCCCAAGGGUAUGGCUGUUCGCCAUUUAAAGUGGUACGCGAGCUGGGUUUAGAACGUCGUGAGACAGUUCGGUCCCUAUCUGCCGUGGGCGCUGGAGAACUGAGGGGGGCUGCUCCUAGUACGAGAGGACCGGAGUGGACGCAUCACUGGUGUUCGGGUUGUCAUGCCAAUGGCACUGCCCGGUAGCUAAAUGCGGAAGAGAUAAGUGCUGAAAGCAUCUAAGCACGAAACUUGCCCCGAGAUGAGUUCUCCCUGAC